RNAcentral lists this non-coding RNA (31 nucleotides) under Mus musculus (house mouse). Lineage: Eukaryota; Metazoa; Chordata; Mammalia; Rodentia; Muridae. The record is from RNAcentral.
UGAAAUUAAGGUGCACUCAGGUGAUAGAUGU